AGUGAACGCUGGCGGUAGGCCUAACACAUGCAAGUCGAACGGCAGCACAGUAAGAGCUUGCUCUUACGGGUGGCGAGUGGCGGACGGGUGAGGAAUACAUCGGAAUCUACUUUUUCGUGGGGGAUAACGUAGGGAAACUUACGCUAAUGCCGCAUACGACCUACGGGUGAAAGCAGGGGAUCUUCGGACCUUGCGCGAUUGAAUGAGCCGAUGUCGGAUUAGCUAGUUGGCGGGGUAAAGGCCCACCAAGGCGACGAUCCGUAGCUGGUCUGAGAGGAUGAUCAGCCACACUGGAACUGGGACACGGUCCAGACUCCUACGGGAGGCAGCAGUGGGGAAUAUUGGACAAUGGGCGCAAGCCUGAUCCAGCCAUACCGCGUGGGUGAAGAAGGCCUUCGGGUUGUAAAGCCCUUUUGUUGGGAAAGAAAAGCAGCAGGUUAAUACCCCGCUGUUCUGACGGUACCCAAAGAAUAAGCACCGGCUAACUUCGUG
Molecule: ribosomal RNA, 492 nt
Filed under: uncultured bacterium
Lineage: Bacteria
Description: partial 16S ribosomal RNA
Rfam family: Bacterial small subunit ribosomal RNA
Source: RNAcentral